Athalia rosae (coleseed sawfly) is the source of this 707-nucleotide long non-coding RNA. RefSeq lists it as uncharacterized. NCBI's taxonomy places the organism in Eukaryota, Metazoa, Arthropoda, Insecta, Hymenoptera, Athaliidae. The transcript has 4 exons. The record is from RefSeq and is a predicted model, not a curated record.
UGCACCGCGCAUCAACGGUAUCAGGAUGCUGGGACUUUGAGCCUGCCUCAAAAACGGAUGUUGUAGUAACUCCGCAGCCGUGACUCUCUGAGCAGGAUCACGAACCAGCAUUCUUUCGAGGAACCCUUGUAGUCGAGGGCUCACCUGGAUAGAUACAAACAGUUUGGGCGGUGGCAUAUCUCUGAUUCGUCGCAUCGCUUGUAAGGGAGGCUCGUUGAAGAAUGGUGGCUCGCCAUCCACCAUUUCUAUAAUCAUUAUACCCAGUGACCAGAUGUCCACUUCAGGUCCAUAUGGUAACCUGAUGAUUUACCUUGAUAUGACUUCUGGGCUCAUCCAAUAAGGAGUUCCUACCAAAGAUUUCCUUUUAGGUAGUUCCUGGGAUACUUGAGCACAAAAACCAAAGUCUGAUAAUUUUACUCUGCCAUCUGCCGCGAGCAGAAUAGAAUCAGACUUAAUAUCUCUGUGAAUGACUCCUUGGGAAUGCAGAUAAGCCAAAGGUUUUAAACAUUGUGAACAAACUGUCGCUAUCUGACUCUCAUCCAUCCUCGAAUGUGUAACUAUAUCAACCCAGUAGCCAGAUUUCCAGAUGAUAUCGAGCUUUUUAGAUUUUGAUUUUGAUCUGGAGUAGAAGUUGUAACAGGAGCAGCAGAUACCAUACCGGACUUUGACAAAUUAUGCAUAGACUGAGAAGACUCAAUUGGUUUCUG